RNAcentral lists this ribosomal RNA (432 nucleotides) under uncultured bacterium. RNAcentral describes it as "partial 16S ribosomal RNA". It matches the Rfam family "Bacterial small subunit ribosomal RNA", at positions 338 to 795 of the family's 1533-position model. The record is from RNAcentral.
CCUACGGGAGGCUGCAGUGGGGAAUAUUGGACAAUGGGCGCAAGCCUGAUCCAGCCAUGCCGCGUGAGUGAUGAAGGCCUUAGGGUCGUAAAGCUCUUUUGUGCGGGAAGCGGUACCGCAAGAAUAAGCCCCGGCUAACUUCGUGCCAGCAGCCGCGGUAAUACGAAGGGGGCUAGCGUUGCUCGGAAUCACUGGGCGUAAAGGGUGCGUAGGCGGGUUCUUAAGUUAGAGGUGAAAGCCUGGAGCUCAACUCCAGAACUGCCUUUAAUACUGGGAAUCUUGAGUUCGGAAGAGGUGAGUGGAACUGCGAGUGUAGAGGUGAAAUUCGUAGAUAUUCGCAAGAACACCAGUGGCGAAGGCGGCUCACUGGUCCGAACUGACGCUGAGGCACGAAAGCGUGAGGAGCAAACAGGAUUAGAUACCCUUGUAGUC